RNAcentral lists this ribosomal RNA (981 nucleotides) under Bacillus sp. (in: firmicutes). RNAcentral's name for it is "bacterial SSU rRNA". It matches the Rfam family "Bacterial small subunit ribosomal RNA", at positions 33 to 990 of the family's 1533-position model. Lineage: Bacteria; Bacillati; Bacillota; Bacilli; Caryophanales; Bacillaceae. The record is from RNAcentral.
GCGUUGCCGGGGUGCCUAAUACAUGCAAGUCGAGCGGACAGAAGGGAGCUUGCUCCCGGAUGUUAGCGGCGGACGGGUGAGUAACACGUGGGUAACCUGCCUGUAAGACUGGGAUAACUCCGGGAAACCGGAGCUAAUACCGGAUAGUUCCUUGAACCGCAUGGUUCAAGGAUGAAAGACGGUUUCGGCUGUCACUUACAGAUGGACCCGCGGCGCAUUAGCUAGUUGGUGGGGUAAUGGCUCACCAAGGCGACGAUGCGUAGCCGACCUGAGAGGGUGAUCGGCCACACUGGGACUGAGACACGGCCCAGACUCCUACGGGAGGCAGCAGUAGGGAAUCUUCCGCAAUGGACGAAAGUCUGACGGAGCAACGCCGCGUGAGUGAUGAAGGUUUUCGGAUCGUAAAGCUCUGUUGUUAGGGAAGAACAAGUGCGAGAGUAACUGCUCGCACCUUGACGGUACCUAACCAGAAAGCCACGGCUAACUACGUGCCAGCAGCCGCGGUAAUACGUAGGUGGCAAGCGUUGUCCGGAAUUAUUGGGCGUAAAGGGCUCGCAGGCGGUUUCUUAAGUCUGAUGUGAAAGCCCCCGGCUCAACCGGGGAGGGUCAUUGGAAACUGGGAAACUUGAGUGCAGAAGAGGAGAGUGGAAUUCCACGUGUAGCGGUGAAAUGCGUAGAGAUGUGGAGGAACACCAGUGGCGAAGGCGACUCUCUGGUCUGUAACUGACGCUGAGGAGCGAAAGCGUGGGGAGCGAACAGGAUUAGAUACCCUGGUAGUCCACGCCGUAAACGAUGAGUGCUAAGUGUUAGGGGGUUUCCGCCCCUUAGUGCUGCAGCUAACGCAUUAGCACUCCGCCUGGGGAGUACGGGUCGCCAAGACUGAAACUCAUGGAUGACGGGGGGCCCGCACAAGCCGUGAAGCCAUGUGGUAAUCGAUGCCAACACCGUCCGUAAGAAACCAUUACCCGAGGGUCUCUCUUA